UACGUAGGGUGCAAGCGUUAAUCGGAAUUACCGGGCGUAAAGCGUGCGCAGGCGGUUGUGCAAGACUGAUGUGAAAUCCCCGGGCUCAACCUGGGAAUUGCAUUUGUGACUGCACGGCUAGAGUGUGUCAGAGGGGGGUAGAAUUCCACGUGUAGCAGUGAAAUGCGUAGAGAUGUGGAGGAAUACCGAUGGCGAAGGCAGCCCCCUGGGAUAACACUGACGCUCAUGCACGAAAGCGUGGGGAGCAAACAGG
Molecule: ribosomal RNA, 253 nt
Filed under: uncultured bacterium
Lineage: Bacteria
Description: partial 16S ribosomal RNA
Rfam family: Bacterial small subunit ribosomal RNA
Source: RNAcentral